Molecule: non-coding RNA, 352 nt
Organism: Pelobates cultripes (western spadefoot toad)
Lineage: Eukaryota; Metazoa; Chordata; Amphibia; Anura; Pelobatidae
Source: the annotation of a GenBank genome assembly
CACUCACAGGUGGGUUUUGCUGGCUGACCAAAGUGAACGGGAUGGAAUGUAGGGUGUCAGGAGCUCUUUCAGGUACUGUUUAAGGCUUUGAAGGUUAGCAGGCCAAUUUUAAAAAUAUGUUCGCCAUUUAAUUGGAAACCAAUGCAGGGAGUGGAGAACAGGUGUUAUGUGGCAGGAGCGAGUUUGAUCAGUUUUGUACAGUCUGAAGGCAAAGGAGUUCUUUUUCUGGGAGGCCCAAGUAAAGUACACUGCAGUAAUCUAGCCGAGAGGAAACAAAUGCAUGGAUUAAUGUUGGCAUAUCAUCUGGUGGAAUUAAGUGUUGUAUCCUGGCUAUGUUUUUCAGAUGAAAGCA